RNAcentral lists this ribosomal RNA (805 nucleotides) under uncultured bacterium. Its description in RNAcentral is "bacterial SSU rRNA". It matches the Rfam family "Bacterial small subunit ribosomal RNA", at positions 48 to 846 of the family's 1533-position model. The record is from RNAcentral.
CUUAAACAUGCAAGUCGAGGGGCAUCAGGAAGAAAGCUUGCUUUCUUUGCUGGCGACCGGCGCACGGGUGAGUAACACGUAUCCAACCUGCCCUUUACUCGGGGAUAGCCUUUCGAAAGAAAGAUUAAUACCCGAUGGGAUAAUUAUUCCGCAUGGUUUGAUUAUUAAAGGAUUCCGGUAAAGGAUGGGGAUGCGUUCCAUUAGGUUGUUGGUGAGGUAACGGCUCACCAAGCCUUCGAUGGAUAGGGGUUCUGAGAGGAAGGUCCCCCACAUUGGAACUGAGACACGGUCCAAACUCCUACGGGAGGCAGCAGUGAGGAAUAUUGGUCAAUGGGCGUUAGCCUGAACCAGCCAAGUAGCGUGAAGGAUGAAGGCUCUAUGGGUCGUAAACUUCUUUUAUAUAAGAAUAAAGUGCAGUAUGUAUACUGUUUUGUAUGUAUUAUAUGAAUAAGGAUCGGCUAACUCCGUGCCAGCAGCCGCGGUAAUACGGAGGAUCCGAGCGUUAUCCGGAUUUAUUGGGUUUAAAGGGAGCGUAGGUGGACUGGUAAGUCAGUUGUGAAAGUUUGCGGCUCAACCGUAAAAUUGCAGUUGAUACUGUCAGUCUUGAGUACAGUAGAGGUGGGCGGAAUUCGUGGUGUAGCGGUGAAAUGCUUAUAUAUCACGAAGAACUCCGAUUGCGAAGGCAGCUCACUGGACUGCAACUGACACUGAUGCUCGAAAGUGUGGGUAUCAAACAGGAUUAGAUACCCUGGUAGUCCACACAGUAAACGAUGAAUACUCGCUGUUUGCGAUAUACAGUAAGCGG